ACGGGUGAGUAACGCGUGGGAACCUACCCUUUGGUACGGAACAACUCGGCGAAAGCUGAGCUAAUACCGUAUGUGUCCUUCGGGAGAAAGAUUUAUCGCCAAAGGAUGGGCCCGCGUCGGAUUAGCUAGUAGGUAGGGUAACGGCCUACCUAGGCGACGAUCCGUAGCUGGUCUGAGAGGAUGAUCAGCCACACUGGGACUGAGACACGGCCCAGACUCCUACGGGAGGCAGCAGUGGGGAAUAUUGGACAAUGGGGGCAACCCUGAUCCAGCCAUGCCGCGUGAGUGAUGAAGGCCUUAGGGUUGUAAAGCUCUUUCGCCCGCGAAGAUAAUGACGGUAGCGGGAGAAGAGGCCCCGGCUAACUUCGUGCCAGCAGCCGCGGUAAUACGAAGGGGGCUAGCGUUGUUCGGAAUCACUGGGCGUAAAGCGUACGUAGGCGGACGAAUAAGUCAGGGGUGAAAGCCUGGAGCUCAACUCCAGAACUGCCUUUGAUACUGUUCGUCUCGAGUCCGGGAGAGGUGAGUGGAACUGCU
Molecule: ribosomal RNA, 534 nt
Filed under: uncultured bacterium
Lineage: Bacteria
Description: bacterial SSU rRNA
Rfam family: Bacterial small subunit ribosomal RNA
Source: RNAcentral